This 255-nucleotide long non-coding RNA is filed under the name Mus spicilegus (steppe mouse). RNAcentral's name for it is "lncRNA (ENSMSIG00000011944.1)". Lineage: Eukaryota; Metazoa; Chordata; Mammalia; Rodentia; Muridae. The record is from RNAcentral.
AUGAAUGAGAGGUCUGGCACAGCUGUGGUGAGAAGCCUUCUGUUACUGGCCUGGCAUGGGAAAGGCAGAAAGAGUCGAGGAUCUGAAGGUGUGGAAACAGGAAGACUUCUGUGGUCCAGAGUUCCAAGACCUUCUGAUGAAGCGUGUGUCAGAAUUCUGUCCUGGCCUCUUACUUCUUACUGGAGAAUUGAAGCAAAGAUCCUCACACUUCUCAGCGGGCCUUUGCAGCUGGGUGAACAACAACAGCAACAGUAA